AUUGAACGCUGGCGGCAGGCUUAACACAUGCAAGUCGAGCGGAGUGAUGGUGCUUGCACUAUCACUUAGCGGCGGACGGGUGAGUAAUGCUUAGGAAUCUGCCUAUUAGUGGGGGACAACAUCUCGAAAGGGAUGCUAAUACCGCAUACGUCCUACGGGAGAAAGCAGGGGAUCACUGGUGACCUUGCGCUAAUAGAUGAGCCUAAGUCGGAUUAGCUAGUUGGUGGGGUAAAGGCCUACCAAGGCGACGAUAUGUAGCGGGUCUGAGAGGAUGAUCCGCCACACUGGGACUGAGACACGGCCCAGACUCCUACGGGAGGCAGCAGUGGGGAAUAUUGGACAAUGGGGGGAACCCUGAUCCAGCCAUGCCGCGUGUGUGAAGAAGGCCUUAUGGUUGUAAAGCACUUUAAGCGAGGAGGAGGCUCUUUUGGUUAAUACCCAAGAUGAGUGGACGUUACUCGCAGAAUAAGCACCGGCUAACUCUGUGCCAGCCGCCGCGGUAA
RNAcentral lists this ribosomal RNA (503 nucleotides) under uncultured bacterium. RNAcentral's name for it is "partial 16S ribosomal RNA". It matches the Rfam family "Bacterial small subunit ribosomal RNA", at positions 30 to 523 of the family's 1533-position model. The record is from RNAcentral.